GCUCAGAACUUAAAGGAAUUGACGGGGCCCGCGACAAGCGGUGGAGCAUGUGGUUUAAUUUCGAAGCAACGCGAAGAACCUUACCAGGCCUUGACAUGCAGAGAACUUUCCAGAGAUGGAUUGGUGCCUUCGGGAACUCUGACACAGGUGCUGCAUGGCUGUCGUCAGCUAGUGUCGUGAGAUGUUGGGUUAAGUCCCGUAACGAGCGCAACCCUUGUCCUUAGUUACCAGCACGUUAUGGUGGGCACUCUAAGGAGACUGCCGGUGACAAACCGGAGGAAGGUGGGGAUGACGUCAAGUCAUCAUGGCCCUUACGGCCUGGGCUACACACGUGCUACAAUGGUCGGUACAAAGGGUUGCCAAGCCGCGAGGUGGAGCUAAUCCCAUAAAACCGAUCGUAGUCCGGAUCGCAGUCUGCAACUCGACUGCGUGAAGUCGGAAUCGCUAGUAAUCGUGAAUCAGAAUGUCACGGUGAAUACGUUCCCGGGCCUU
RNAcentral lists this ribosomal RNA (492 nucleotides) under uncultured Pseudomonas sp. Its description in RNAcentral is "bacterial SSU rRNA". It matches the Rfam family "Bacterial small subunit ribosomal RNA", at positions 892 to 1382 of the family's 1533-position model. The record is from RNAcentral. Lineage: Bacteria; Pseudomonadati; Pseudomonadota; Gammaproteobacteria; Pseudomonadales; Pseudomonadaceae.